GAUGAACGCUGGCGGCGUGCCUAAUACAUGCAAGUCGAGCGAACAGACGAGGAGCUUGCUCCUCUGACGUUAGCGGCGGACGGGUGAGUAACACGUGGAUAACCUACCUAUAAGACUGGGAUAACUUCGGGAAACCGGAGCUAAUACCGGAUAAUAUAUUGAACCGCAUGGUUCAAUAGUGAAAGACGGUUUUGCUGUCACUUAUAGAUGGAUCCGCGCCGCAUUAGCUAGUUGGUAAGGUAACGGCUUACCAAGGCAACGAUGCGUAGCCGACCUGAGGGGGGGAUGGGCACACUGGGAAGGGAAACACGGCCCAACACCCAAGGGGGGGAAGCAGAGGGAAGUUUUCGGAAAGGGGGAAAAGCUUAAGGGGGAAACGCGGGGGGGGGAAGAAAGGCUUUGGGUUGGAAAACCUUUUUUUUAGGGAAAAAAAAAAGGGGAAAGAAACUAGGACAGUUUGGACGGUACUUAAGAAAAAACCACGGGUAAACAACGG
RNAcentral lists this ribosomal RNA (496 nucleotides) under uncultured bacterium. Its description in RNAcentral is "partial 16S ribosomal RNA". It matches the Rfam family "Bacterial small subunit ribosomal RNA", at positions 28 to 506 of the family's 1533-position model. The record is from RNAcentral.